This 1352-nucleotide ribosomal RNA is filed under the name uncultured bacterium. Its description in RNAcentral is "bacterial SSU rRNA". It matches the Rfam family "Bacterial small subunit ribosomal RNA", at positions 68 to 1442 of the family's 1533-position model. The record is from RNAcentral.
GAAGUAUAGCAAUAUGCUUUAGCGGCGGACGGGUGAGUAACACGUGGAGAAUCUGCCUUAUACGGGGGGAUAGCCAACCGAAAGGUUGAUUAAUACCGCAUAAAGCCACACUGGUGCAUGCCAGAGUGGACAAAGGAUUAGUCCGGUAUAAGAUGACUCCGCGGCCCAUUAGCUAGUUGGUGAGGUAAAGGCCCACCAAGGCGACGAUGGGCAGCCGAUCUGAGAGGAUGAACGGCCACAUUGGAACUGAGACACGGUCCAGACUCCUACGGGAGGCAGCAGUGGGGAAUAUUGCGCAAUGGGGGAAACCCUGACGCAGCAACGCCGCGUGAGUGAAGAAGGCCUUCGGGUCGUAAAGCUCUGUCUUUUGGGACGAUAAUGACGGUACCAAAGGAGGAAGCCACGGCUAACUACGUGCCAGCAGCCGCGGUAAUACGUAGGUGGCGAGCGUUGUCCGGAAUUACUGGGCGUAAAGGGUGCGUAGGCGGAGUAUUAAGUCAGAUGUGAAAUCCCCGGGCUCAACUCGGGAGUGGCAUUUGAAACUGGUAAUCUAGAGUGCAGGAGAGGAAAGCGGAAUUCCUAGUGUAGCGGUGAGAUGCGUAGAUAUUAGGAAGAACACCAGUGGCGAAGGCGGCUUUCUGGACUGUAACUGACGCUGAGGCACGAAAGCGUGGGGAGCAAACAGGAUUAGAUACCCUGGUAGUCCACGCUGUAAACUAUGAGUGCUAGGUGUAGGGGGUAUCGACACCCUCUGUGCCGCAGCAAACGUAAUAAGCACUCCGCCUGGGGAGUACGGUCGCAAGACUAAAACUCAAAGGAAUUGACGGGGGCCCGCACAAGCAGCGGAGCAUGUGGUUUAAUUCGAAGCAACGCGAAGAACCUUACCAGGACUUGACAUCCACAGAAUCCUUUAGAGAUAAGGGAGUGCCUUUCGGGGAACUGUGAGACAGGUGGUGCAUGGUUGUCGUCAGCUCGUGUCGUGAGAUGUUGGGUUAAGUCCCGCAACGAGCGCAACCCUUGUCAUUAGUUGCUACCAUUAAGUUGAGCACUCUAAUGAGACUGCCGGGGACAACUCGGAGGAAGGUGGGGAUGACGUCAAAUCAUCAUGCCCCUUAUGUCCUGGGCUACACACGUGCUACAAUGGCUAGAACAAUGAGAAGCAAAGCCGCAAGGUGGAGCAAAUCUAUAAAACUAGUCCCAGUUCGGAUUGAUGGCUGCAACCCGCCAUCAUGAAGCCGGAGUUGCUAGUAAUCGCGAAUCAGCAUGUCGCGGUGAAUACGUUCCCGGGCCUUGUACACACCGCCCGUCACACCAUGGGAGUCUGCAACACCCGAAGCCUGUGAGUUAACUUG